GCGACCCACGUUAACCGCUAACGGGGGGCUUCUCCCCGGCGACCGGCGCGGCUACAAGAUGGCGGACGAUAGAGAAGGUACAGUAGCAGAAUUACAGAAAAAAAUCAAAGAGGCAUUUGAAGUAUUUGACCGUGAGUCGAAUAAUACAGUGGAUGUGAGGGAGAUUGGAACGAUUGUCAGGUCCCUGGGGUGCUGCCCCAGCGAAGGUGAGCUCCACGACCUGAUUGCGGAGGUAGAGGAGGAAGAACCUACUGGAUACAUCCGAUAUGAAAAAUUUCUUCCAGUGAUGACGAAAGUACUACAGGAAAAAAGGUACAGACCAAUUCCAGAAGAUGUUCUUCUUCGAGCUUUUGAGGCUUUAGAUCCAGCUAAACGUGGGUUUCUUACUAAAGAAGAACUGAUCAAGUAUAUGACUGAAGAAGGUACAGUUGCCGUCAACUUGAUCCAGGCAAUAUGAAGUUCCCCAGCAACUUGUCACCUCGCUUGCCAUUAUCUUAUCAGCUGUUGCAAAAUGUUUGGUCAUCCAACAGUGUACCUUGAUUAUCAGUGAACUUGGACUUGGAAACGAGUUAAUUUCUACAGUAACCAGGAUGCACCAGCUGCAGUGCUUGGCCCUGGCCUCGUGUGGAAUAAGGCCAUCGUUAACUUGAGUUGCAUGGAUGUUCAAAUCUGACCGUCAGCACGCUGCAGUCCUGAGGGAUGAGACUUCUGAAAGAAGGCAGGCCCCCGUUCUGACUCUGCCGGGCAGGAAGAACCAGGGACGUUGAUGGACCACCGUCUGGGUUCUGGCACAAGCCCACCUUGUACUGCACUCCGCCUCCCCAACGGCCAGGGCAGAAUGCUGCUUCCCAGCUUAUGCAAAGCUACAGAUUCCUUCAGAGCCCUGUGGUUUGGGGCCCGUGUGCGGGACGUGUGGGAGUCUUCCUUGCCAGCGUGUCCACAGCCCCAGAAGGGCAACAGCACAUGUCAGCGGCCCACUCACCGGACGGGCCUGCGGGCUCCGGUCCUCGUCGCCAGCAGCCUAAGCAGGUUGCUGGGCCUCACCGUGGGUUGUUCGACCACAAAAUAGGAGGGAAGAAAGCUGCUGGGUGGGGAGAGGCCUGGCCCAGCUCAGCUGUAUAGUACAUCAAUCAGCUCGCAGGGAGGCGAGAGAAAAAUGCUUUUCUCCUGUUAAUAAAAACAUCAAAAACCCCACUGCAUGGAAGAGCCUGGGUUCCCAAUCAGAACACUGAACCUGCUAGGAAAUGGGCCGUAGGAAAGCAGAGACCAAAGAAUGAACACCUUGCCGCUCACCAUGAACUUUGUAACUACUUUUUGGCAAUGGGGAUAGUAAGAGUAGUGGAAAAGGCAGCGAGGAGACAGACCUGCUCCUCCUUCAUCACCUGGGCCUGGGAUGGGUUCAGGCGCUCCUGUGUGCUGUGCCAAGGCCACCAGGUGCACGCGGGAGCCUGUGGUGCCAGGCGACCUGCAGCGACAGCAGUGUGUCCCGGCCUCCGCCUGCCUGCUGGCUGCAGGGCCAAGGACGUACAUGCAAGGGGGAAGCAGAGCUCCUGCUGCCCUUGGCCCUCCCCUGUCUCCCACAGGUCACCUGCAGAAGAUGGGGAGCGAAGAGCCCUUUCUUCACGGGGCAGUGGCUCGUCGAGGCCUCAGCAAGCUUUGAGCAGACUCAUGAAGGUGAUGUGUGACGUGACGGUCUUUCGGUGUGAUCGCCGUGGAGUUUCCCUCUUCGUUUCUCUUAACAUGUUCCCAGUGCCCAUUUUUUCCCACUGUAUAAAAGACUGCCUCCUGCUCCUGAGUCUGAAGUGUCCUGUGUAAAUAGCAUGGUGCCUGUCGGCACCCGAGCCCGUCUAAGGCAGUACCUGCUGAGGACUGGGGCUCUGGGAAGCCCGGCCAUCAUGUGGUCCACGUCAGCUUACCUGCAAGAUGUCACUUUUUCUUGGUAUCAGUGCUCUUUAAUUCUUAUUUAAGAUUGUUGAAAAGAGUCUCUGAGGCCAAGUGAGAAAGGUAUUUGAAAAUUUUACUGCGGCCGGCGCCAUGGCUUAACAGGCUAAUCCUCCGCCUUGUGGCACCGGCACACCGGGUUCUAGUCCCGGUUGGGGCGCUGGAUCCUAUCCCGGUUGCCCCUCUUCCAGGCCAGCUCUCUGCUAUGGCCCGGGAAGGCAGUGGAGGAUGGCCCAAGUCUUUGGGCCCUGCACCCGCAUGGGAGACCAGGAGAAGCACCUGGCUCCUGGCUUCGGAUCAGCGCGAUGCGCCGGCCGCAGCGGCCAUUGGAGGGUGAACCAACGGCAAAAAGGAAGACCUUUCUCUCCGUCUGUCUCUCUCUCUCACUGUCCACUCUGCCUGUCAAAAAAAAAAAAAAAAAAGAAAAGAAAAGAAAAUUUUACUGCAUGUUGGAAUAUAUGUGCGUGCAUAUGUUUGGAGCAGUGUGACUUCAUCUUCACACUCUUUCCCUUUUCCACUGUGCUGAGAUCCGUGUGAGGGACUUUGCCAUUUCAACCACCACCUGUGUCCAGAACUUUGCCUUUCCAAACUGAAGCACUGCACCCAUUAAAUAAUAACCCCCCACCCCUCUUUAUGCCAAUCAA
Lepus europaeus (European hare) is the source of this 2585-nucleotide RNA transcript. It is a transcript of the gene named EF-hand calcium binding domain 2, with no coding region annotated. The transcript is spliced from 9 exons. The record is from RefSeq and is a predicted model, not a curated record. Lineage: Eukaryota; Metazoa; Chordata; Mammalia; Lagomorpha; Leporidae.